CUGGUUGAUCCUGCCAGACCCGACUGCUAUCAGAGUGGGACUAAGCCAUGCGAGUCAACGCCGCAAGGCGUGGCAUACGGCUCAGUAACACGUAGUCAACAUGCCCAGGGGACGUGGAUAACCUCGGGAAACUGAGGAUAAACCGCGAUAGGCCAAGGUUUCUGGAAUGGACACUGGCUGAAACCUAUACGGCCCCUGGAUUGGACUGCGGCCGAUCAGGCUGUUGGUGAGGUAAUGGCCCACCAAACCUGUAACCGGUACGGGCUUUGAGUGAAGGAGCCCGGAGAUGGGCACUGAGACAAGGGCCCAGGCCCUAUGGGGCGCAGCAGGCGCGAAACCUCUGCAAUAGGCGAAAGCUUGACAGGGUUACUCUGAGUGAUGCCCGCUAAGGGCAUCUUUUGGCACCUCUAAAAAUGGUGCAGAAUAAGGGGUGGGCAAGUCUGGUGUCAGCCGCCGCGGUAAUACCAGCACCCCGAGUGGUCGGGACGAUUAUUGGGCCUAAAGCAUCCGUAGCUUGUUCUGCAAGUCUUCCGUUAAAUCCACCUGCUCAACAGAUGGGCUGCGGGAGAUACUACAGGGCUAGGAGGCGGGAGAGGCAAACGGUACUCAGUGGGUAGGGGUAAAAUCCUCUGAUCCACUGAAGACCACCAGUGGCGAAGGCGGUUUGCCAGAACGCGCUCGACGGUGAGGGAUGAAAGCUGGGGGAGCAAACCGGAUUAGAUACCCGGGUAGUCCCAGCUGUAAACGAUGCAGACUCGGUGAUGGGUUGGCCUUGCGCCAACCCAGUGCCGCAGGGAAGCCGUUAAGCCUGCCGCCUGGGGAGUACGGU
Molecule: ribosomal RNA, 829 nt
Filed under: uncultured archaeon
Lineage: Archaea
Description: bacterial SSU rRNA
Rfam family: Archaeal small subunit ribosomal RNA
Source: RNAcentral